AUGGUAGAAGUCAAAUCUCCAAGGUGCCCCUGCACAUUCCAUUGUCAAUUUCUAAGCACGGAGCUAAGAGGAUUAGCACGGGGCUUCAUUUCCACCCAACGCAGAAGCACCAGUGAAGGCACCAGGCAUGCAAAACGGAUCAGCGGGGAGCCAAUCAGGCCUGCCACAGCCGUGCCUCCGGGGAACUCGCGGGGUUUACCGAGCCAUGCGCCCU
RNAcentral lists this long non-coding RNA (214 nucleotides) under Panicum hallii. RNAcentral describes it as "long non-coding RNA (PHAL_LNC000250)". The record is from RNAcentral. Lineage: Eukaryota; Viridiplantae; Streptophyta; Magnoliopsida; Poales; Poaceae.